GGUGAGAUGGCCGAGUGGUUAUGGCGCCGUGUUCAGGUAGACUUGAGCAAUCAAGAUCACCAAGAACUUCGCGGUGGAGCAAUCCGCGUGGGUUCGAGUCCCACUCUCAUCA
This is a non-coding RNA of Xylaria digitata, 112 nucleotides long. NCBI's taxonomy places the organism in Eukaryota, Fungi, Ascomycota, Sordariomycetes, Xylariales, Xylariaceae. The record is from the annotation of a GenBank genome assembly.